Molecule: RNA transcript, 1679 nt
Organism: Lycium barbarum (goji berry)
Lineage: Eukaryota; Viridiplantae; Streptophyta; Magnoliopsida; Solanales; Solanaceae
Gene name: zinc finger CCCH domain-containing protein 32-like
Exons: 3
Source: RefSeq, a predicted model, not a curated record
ACAUAGGAAAAAAACAGUUAUACAGAAAUACAGAAAGAAAGAAAGAAAGAAAGAAAGAAAGAAAGAAAGAAAGAAAGAAAGAGAGAGAGAGAGAGUGCUUGUGUGUGAAGUAUAUAAGCAAACAAUCUCAAAAAAGCUCACUUCACUCCACUGUACGAACUCUCUCCUGAGAGGACCAAAGAAAACACCUAAAACACACACUCACUCUGUGUUCUAUCUCAUAAUCCAUAUAGAAAUUGAUGUUGGGAUCGAAAUAACAUAGUGUCACGCGGAAGCUAACAAUUCUAAACCUUAAAUGACGAUAAGUCAGAAACAAAAAAGGUAUACUAAAAGGUCACUUCCUUGUGUACAUAUAUACACGUACGAUCUAGUUCUUUGAUCAGUUCUGUAUCAGUGUAAAUGCUUUGCCCCUUUUUCCAAUUUUUGUUGAUUCUUUGGUCGAAGAAAAAAGCAGAUUCAGAUAAAAAUGGAGUUGUUCGGUUGGUUACAGUCCGAUCAACAGUCGGAAUGGAUUUCCGUGAGGCUGGAAACCGGUCUCGAAGAAUCAAUGUGAAGGUUCGGAUUGUAUAUAACCGGGUCGUGCGGAUAUGGUGCUAAAUGCCGGUAUAUUCAUCCACCUGAUCGAAGCUCUGUAAGUUGUUGAUCUCGUCUUAGUUGUGUUAAUUAAGCACACUAAUCAGAUGUAAAUCUAAUAUUUAAAGUUACUAUCCUCAUUACAUUUUUAAUGGAGCCCAUAGCUUCAUAGAGAAUCGUGAACCGACAAGCUUAUUAAAUUGGAUUUAACUUAUAUACACUUAACUGGUUAAAGUAUUCAUACACUAUCGGUUAUUUACUUUACUUUUAUAGGUUACCCAAUUAGGCAUAUUCUAGAAAGUUACAUGUAAAAAGUGGCACUAUAUGCCCAGAAUUUUAUGCUUUUAUCUUUGUAUCACUAACAAGAUGGAAGUAGAAAUGAACUAUUUUUACUACGUCUUCCGUCCCAAUUAUGUGAAGGUAUCUGAUUGGGCACUGAGUAUGAGAACGAAAUUAAGACUUUUGAAACUUGCGGUUUAUAAUAAGCUAUAGAUAUUUGUGUGACAAUUAAGGGCAUAAUAGAAAGUUUAAAGUUAAAUUGUCACUAAAUAUAGAUAGGUGUCAUUUAUCUGAGACUGACUGAAAAGGAAAGAGUGUCACAUAAAUUGGCACGGAGGAGUAGGUUUUUUCAUCUUGUGGAUAUUCUAUUAGUUUCUUGGAAUGGAAAGUAUGAGUUGCUUUAACCUUUACUUGGGAGCAGUGGCGGAGCCACACUACGCCAAGGGUGUUCAUCCGAACCCCCUCGACAGAAAAAAAUAUUGUUUUACAAGGUUAAAAUUAUUUUUUAUGUAUAUAUAGUGGAUGUUGAACCCCUUAGGCUUCUUCGUAUGUUUAUUUUUUUAUAUUUUGAACUCCCUCGGUGGAAAUCCUGGCUCCGCCACUGCUUGUGAGUUGCUCGGAUUUCAGGUUGGUGCGGUGCAGUUGGGAGGAAGUGAACACCCGGAACGAGUAGAAGAGCCUACAUGCCAGUACUAUCUAAGAACGGGGCCUGUAAAUAUAGUGCAUCACGCAAGUUCCACCAUCCAAGAAACUUGGGUGGAUCCUCAAACAAUAUACCACUAGAUGUUAAUGGAUACCUAUUACGCCUGAUAAUCGAUCUAUUGCAU